AGGGCACCACCAGGAGUGGAGCCUGCGGCUUAAUUUGACUCAACACGGGGAAACUUACCCGGCCUGGACACUGGAAGGAUUGACAGAUUGAGAGCUCUUUCUUGAUUCAGUGGGUGGUGGUGCAUGGCCGUUCUUAGUUGGUGGAGCGAUUUGUCUGGUUAAUUCCGAUAACGAACGAGACUCUAGCCUAUUAAAUAGGCUCUCGGCUUUUAAACGCCGGGAGGACUUCUUAGAGGGACAGGUGGCGGUUCAGCCGCACGAAAGAGAGCAAUAACAGGUCUGUGAUGCCCUUUGUUGUCCGGGGCCGCACGCGCGCUACACUGAAGAGAUCAGCGUGCUUUACGUUCCUGCUCCGACCGGAGUGGGGAACCCAGUGAACCUUCUUCGUGAUUGGGAUAGAAGAUUGUAAUUAUUCUUCUUGAACGAGGAAUUCCCAGUAAAUGCGAGUCAUAAGCUCGCGUUGAUUACGUCCCUGCCCUUUGUACACACCGCCCGUCGCUACUACCGAUUGAGCGAUUU
RNAcentral lists this ribosomal RNA (519 nucleotides) under uncultured eukaryote. RNAcentral describes it as "SSU rRNA". It matches the Rfam family "Eukaryotic small subunit ribosomal RNA", at positions 1161 to 1699 of the family's 1831-position model. The record is from RNAcentral.